AAGUCGAGCGGUAACAGGAAGAAGCUUGCUUCUUUGCUGACGAGCGGCGGACGGGUGAGUAAUACUUGGGAACUUGCCUUUAAGAGGGGGAUAACCGCUGGAAACGGUGGCUAAUACCGCAUAAUGUCUACGGACCAAAGCAGGGGCUCUUCCGACCUUGCACCUAAAGAUAGGCCCAAACGAGAUUAUCUAGUUGGUGGGGUAAAGGCCCACCAAGGCGACAAUCUCUAGCUGUUCUGAGAGGAUGAUCACCCACACUGGGACUGAGACACGGCCCACACUCCUACGGGAGGCAGCACUGGGGAAUAUUGCACAAUGGGGGAAACCCUGAUGCACCCAUGCCCCGUGUGUGAAAAAAGCCUUCUGGUUGUAAAGCACUUUCUUUGGUGAGGAAAGCCGUAAUAUUAAUACUCUUGCGGAUUGACAUUAACCACACAAAAAACACCGGCUAACUCCGUGCCCCCCCC
RNAcentral lists this ribosomal RNA (467 nucleotides) under bacterium 2611-S4-01-4. RNAcentral's name for it is "partial 16S ribosomal RNA". It matches the Rfam family "Bacterial small subunit ribosomal RNA", at positions 59 to 515 of the family's 1533-position model. The record is from RNAcentral.